RNAcentral lists this ribosomal RNA (445 nucleotides) under uncultured bacterium. Its description in RNAcentral is "bacterial SSU rRNA". It matches the Rfam family "Bacterial small subunit ribosomal RNA", at positions 29 to 507 of the family's 1533-position model. The record is from RNAcentral.
AACGAACGCUGGCGGCAGGCUUAACACAUGCAAGUCGAACGAGAAGCUAUCCUUCGGGGUAGUGGAAAGUGGCAGACGGGUGAGUAACGCGUGGGAACGUGCCUUUCGGUUCGGAAUAACUCAGGGAAACUUGGGCUAAUACCGGAUACGCCCUUCGGGGGAAAGAUUUAUCGCCGAAAGAUCGGCCCGCGUCGGAUUAGCUUGUUGGUGAGGUAAAAGCUCACCAAGGCGACGAUCCGUAGCUGGUCUGAGAGGAUGAUCAGCCACACUGGGACUGAGACACGGCCCAGACUCCUACGGGAGGCAGCAGUGGGGAAUAUUGGACAAUGGGCGCAAGCCUGAUCCAGCCAUGCCGCGUGUGUGAAGAAGGCCUUCGGGUUGUAAAGCACUUUCACCCGUGAAGAUGAUGACGGUAGCGGGAGAAGAAGCCCCGGCUAACUCCGUG